This 559-nucleotide transfer RNA is filed under the name Bartonella sp. RNAcentral's name for it is "partial 16S-23S ribosomal RNA intergenic spacer". The stretch from base 115 to 188 matches the Rfam family "tRNA". The record is from RNAcentral. Lineage: Bacteria; Pseudomonadati; Pseudomonadota; Alphaproteobacteria; Hyphomicrobiales; Bartonellaceae.
UAAAAACAUUUAGGAGCGUUUAAAAAACAAACCAAAAGCGUUUAACAAACAUAUAUGUGUGUUAAAUAUAUCUUUUAUCUGUCCCGAGGAAGGUUUUUACCAAUUCACUCCUGAGGGCUUGUAGCUCAGUUGGUUAGAGCGCGCGCUUGAUAAGCGUGAGGUCGGAGGUUCAAGUCCUCCCAGGCCCACCAAUUUAUGAUCGCUGAUAAAGUUUGCUGAUAAAGUUUUUACGAAUGUUUUGGUGGUCUUUUAUGUUGCAAUCUUUCACUUUUAUGUUGCACUUUUAAAAGCUAUUUGAACUGUUUAGGGGCCGUAGCUCAGCUGGGAGAGCACCUGCUUUGCAAGCAGGGGGUCGUCGGUUCGAUCCCGUCCGGCUCCACCAUCUUUGGUUAUCAUCAUCGUUGGAGAACAAUGUUUGCAAUAGAUCAUAGAUUUUAAGUCUAUCAUCUAUUGCCUGUUCUAUUGAAAUUGUGAAGAGAAGAUAUAUUCAGACAUUACUGUUUUAUUCAUACAGUGCUGUUUUUGUUGUUACUUUAAUGUGUAAAUCCUUCCUUUAAGG